This 579-nucleotide ribosomal RNA is filed under the name Triticum aestivum (bread wheat). Its description in RNAcentral is "partial small subunit ribosomal RNA". Lineage: Eukaryota; Viridiplantae; Streptophyta; Magnoliopsida; Poales; Poaceae. The record is from RNAcentral.
AUGAAGAAGAAGGGUGUUAGUAUUGUUGCAUUGUGGGAAAGAGCUUCCAAGGCAAAUAAAAGAACUUCGACAUCUACACCAAAUCCUCCUGAUGUUAAAGUUGAGAACAGUAGUAUCAUUCCUCCUACUAUUGAGAGCAAUCUGCAACUGGCACUUGUGCAAGCACAUGAACCUGAUGAUGGCCACCCAGAACCUGAGAGUGCAGCUGGCUCCCCAACCCUAAUUGUAGAAGAUGAUGAAGCAAAUGAUGAAGUUCAGUUUGAAGUAGAUUUGGAAGCACUUGAGUCUGAUCUUGGGAAACGGAUCCCCAUCUCUAGGUACAAUGUCAAUGACCAGGAUAAAGUUAGAAGGAGAUACAUCGAGUUGGGGGCAUGUCAACCAAAGAAUCAUAAUUUUGAGUAUAGAGAUAUAAGUGGAUUACAGCAUCGCUUUUCUCCUUCUUGGUUUAAGGAUUACAAGUGGCUUGAGUAUAGUGUGGACAAAGAAGCCGCUUUCUGCUUCGUUUGCUAUUUGUUCAAGGAUAAAACAAGAUGUCCCGGUGAAGAUGCUUUUGUGAAGAAGGGAUUUAACAUAUUGUAA